This 253-nucleotide ribosomal RNA is filed under the name uncultured bacterium. RNAcentral's name for it is "partial 16S ribosomal RNA". It matches the Rfam family "Bacterial small subunit ribosomal RNA", at positions 524 to 776 of the family's 1533-position model. The record is from RNAcentral.
UACAGAGGGGGCAAGCGUUGUUCGGAAUUACUGGGCGUAAAGGGCGCGUAGGCGGCCUUCUAAGUCGAACGUGAAAUCCCCGGGCUCAACCCGGGAACUGCGUCCGAUACUGGAAGGCUUGAAUCCGGGAGAGGGAUGCGGAAUUCCUGGUGUAGCGGUGAAAUGCAUAGAUAUCAGGAGGAACACCAGCGGCGAAGGCGGCACUCUGGGCUGGAACUGACGCUGAGGAGCGAAAGCGUGGGGAGCGAACAGG